Molecule: long non-coding RNA, 1995 nt
Organism: Cygnus olor (mute swan)
Lineage: Eukaryota; Metazoa; Chordata; Aves; Anseriformes; Anatidae
Exons: 4
Source: RefSeq, a predicted model, not a curated record
CGCCUUUUUCCCCUCACUCUUGGGCAGGACGAGGCGAACCAGGCCUCGGGAUGGAGGCUGUCAGGCAGGACUAGACCCUCCGACCGGCUUUCUGCCGCUCGUGGAGCUCUGUAACCGGCUCCAGACCACCGAGCGUCCUCUCCCCCUCUGCGCGAUGGUGCGGCCUGCUGGUUCCUCCAUGGCAGCUCUGACUGGAAAAAAAACAGGUUAUACUCAGUUACAGAAAAUCUGUUAAGAAGCUAUAAUUUUUAUAAAGUCAAAUUUUCUGAUCCUGAGUCCUACAACUCAGAGAAUGAUGGUGGCAGGUGGAAUUCCGUUGAAAUUUAGUAAGUGCGGUAAGUUGGGUAAAGUCCGAGAGCUUUGGACCUCAUCAGGAUUCUCCUUGACUUCCUGCCAGCUGGCUUGCAGAACUUCCCAAGCCGUGCUGUGCUCUCCAACAAACUGUGCUAUCCAACCCUUCUCUUCUGCAGCCUCCUCAUUCUGAGGUGACUCAUCCACAGUGCCAGGCAAUAGUGCACAGAGGUACUAAAAUUCUCGUCAGCAGAUUCCCAGACUCGUGCGCAGGCAGCACUGGGGGAACAGGCUUCACCGUCAGAGACGGGAGUUCUGCGGAGGACCAUGAAGGAGAGCAGAAAUAAAACCAGACUCUUCAAACACAGAUUCAGGGUGAGUGAUCCUGUGAUUGCUCCAGACAUGAUUUUGCAGAAAACCGAGUAUUCAGCUUGUUUUGAAAGCAGAGAUACUUGUCAGCAAUUACUGCUGAGGUAGGGAGAGUACUGUUAAGAUAGAUAAACUUGUCAGCUGUGUCAACUCUGAUGAUGGAAGAGCAGAAAGGCCAGCUGUAAGGUUGAAAAAGACCUUUGUAUUUUAGAUGCGGAUAGUGAGGUUGUUUUUCCAUAAUGCUGCAAAGUGGUUGAGAGUACCCUUGUUUCUAUAUGCACUAAUUCCACAGAUAUUAGAGAACAGAAAAAAAAAAAAAGCCGUGGAUGAUGGGCUAAGGGUUCCUGGUAUUAUCAUCAGGAAUAAUGUUUGCUGUUGGCAACACAUUUUUGUAGGUGUGCAUAACUGAAUCUUUCAAUUUGAGCUCCCCUUCUUGUUCAGGGGAUUAAUUGGUCUACUGCUUCUACCUGCUGUUAGUUUGCCCAUUGUCCACAUUUCACACUUAUUUAAAAAUCUUUGCUGAUUUUCUCCAAAAGAUCUUCAUAGUCUUGGCUGAUAACUAUGUCAAAUAUAUUCUUUCUUUAGUUAAGUUCUGAUUAAGAUGCCCACUCUGACAUUAAACUUGAGACUGGCAAUGAAUAUGGGUGGCCAGUCACCAGUGAGGUUUCCCAGGGCUCUCAAUUUUAGGGCCCAUUCUCUUUAAUGUUUUUAUAUAUGAUCUAGAUGUGGGAGUCGAAUGCACACUGAGUAAGUUUUCAGAUGAUACUAAAUUAGGAGAAGCUGUUGACUCCCUUGAGGACAGAGAGGCCUUGCAGAGAGAUCUUAACAGAUUAUAGGGCUGGGCAAUAUCCAGCCACGUGAAGUUUAACAAGAGCAAGUGCCAGAUUCUGCACCUAGGACAGCGCAACCCUGUCUGUAUGUACAGAUGUGGGGACACGAGGCUGGAGAUCAGACCCGUGGAAAGGGAUCACAGAAUCACAGCAUGGCUGAUGUUGGAAGCAACCUCUGGAGAUCACCUGGUCCAACCCCCCUGCCCAGCAGGCUCAACCGGAGCAUGUUGCACUGGAUAACAUCCAAGUGGGUUUUGAAUAUCUCCAGAGAAGGAGACUCCAUGGCUUCUCUAGGCAGCCAGUUCCAGUGCUCUGUCACCCUCACGGUAACCAAAUGCCCUCUCAUAUCCAUCUGGAACUUCCUGUGUCUCAGUUUGUGCCCGUUGCCACUUGUCCUGUUGCUGGGCACCACCAAAAGGAGUCUGUCCUCAGCCUCUUGACACCCUCCCUUGUGAUAUUUGUACAUAUUGAUGAGAUCCCCUCUCAGUCUUCUCUCCUCCAAGCU